GACGAACGUUGGCGGCGUGCCUAAUACAUGCCAGUCGAGCGAAGUUUUUCUGGUGCUUGCACUAGAAAAACUUAGCGGCGAACGGGUGAGUAACACGUAAAGAACCUGCCUCAUAGACUGGGACAACUAUUGGAAACGAUAGCUAAUACCGGAUAACAGUAUUUCUCGCAUGAGAGAUAUUUAAAAGUUGGUUAUGCUAACACUAUGAGAUGGCUUUGCGGUGCAUUAGCUAGUUGGUGGGGUAAAGGCCCACCAAGGCGACGAUGCAUAGCCGACCUGAGAGGGUGAUCGGCCACACUGGGACUGAGACACGGCCCAGACUCCUACGGGAGGCAGCAGUAGGGAAUCUUCCGCAAUGGGCGAAAGCCUGACGGAGCAACGCCGCGUGAGUGAAGAAGGAUUUCGGUUCGUAAAGCUCUGUUGUUAGGGAAGAAUGGAUAUGUAGUAACUAUACAUGUAAGAGACGGUACCUAACCAGAAAGCCACGGCUAACUACGUG
RNAcentral lists this ribosomal RNA (499 nucleotides) under uncultured bacterium. RNAcentral describes it as "partial 16S ribosomal RNA". It matches the Rfam family "Bacterial small subunit ribosomal RNA", at positions 28 to 507 of the family's 1533-position model. The record is from RNAcentral.